GUGCUCACUUUGGCAGCACUUAUACUAAAAUUGAAACGAUACAGAGAAGAUUAGCAUGGCCCUUGCACAAGAAUAAUAUCUUUAUUAAACAUCAUGAUUACAAACAU
Molecule: small nuclear RNA, 107 nt
Organism: Suncus etruscus (white-toothed pygmy shrew)
Lineage: Eukaryota; Metazoa; Chordata; Mammalia; Eulipotyphla; Soricidae
Source: RefSeq, a predicted model, not a curated record